RNAcentral lists this ribosomal RNA (468 nucleotides) under uncultured bacterium. Its description in RNAcentral is "partial 16S ribosomal RNA". It matches the Rfam family "Bacterial small subunit ribosomal RNA", at positions 28 to 507 of the family's 1533-position model. The record is from RNAcentral.
GACGAACGCUGGCGGCGUGCUUAACACAUGCAAGUCGAACGGAAAGGCCCUGCUUUUGUGGGGUGCUCGAGUGGCGAACGGGUGAGUAACACGUGAGUAACCUGCCCUUGACUUUGGGAUAACUUCAGGAAACUGGGGCUAAUACCGGAUACGAGCUCCUGCUGCAUGGUGGGGGUUGGAAAGUUUCGGCGGUUGGGGAUGGACUCGCGGCUUAUCGGCUUGUUGGUGGGGUAGUGGCUUACCAAGGCUUUGACGGGUAGCCGGCCUGAGAGGGUGACCGGCCACAUUGGGACUGAGAUACGGCCCAGACUCCUACGGGAGGCAGCAGUGGGGAAUAUUGCACAAUGGGCGGAAGCCUGAUGCAGCAACGCCGCGUGCGGGAUGACGGCCUUCGGGUUGUAAACCGCUUUCGCCUGUGACGAAGCGUGAGUGACGGUAAUGGGUAAAGAAGCACCGGCUAACUACGUG